Molecule: unclassified non-coding RNA, 355 nt
Filed under: soil metagenome
Description: partial contains 5.8S ribosomal RNA, internal transcribed spacer 2, and large subunit ribosomal RNA
Rfam family: 5.8S ribosomal RNA (bases 1-120)
Source: RNAcentral
GAUGAAGAACGCAGCGAAAUGCGAUAAGUAAUGCGAAUUGCAGAAUUCAGUGAAUCAUCGAAUCUUUGAACGCACAUUGCGCCCGCUAGUAUUCUGGCGGGCAUGCCUGUCUGAGCGUCAUUUCAACCCUCGCCCCCGGCUUUUGCUGGGAGCGGUGUUGGGGAUCGGCCGCCCGUCACUGGGAGGCCGGCCCCGAAAUAGAGUGGCGACCACGCCGUGUGCUCCUCUGCGUAGUAGUAAAUCACCUCGCAGGCGGACAGCGGUGCGGCCUGCCGUAAAACCCCCAACUCUUUCUGGUUGACCUCAGAUCAGGUAGGAAUACCCGCUGAACUUAAGCAUAUCAAUAAGCGGAAGA